Molecule: ribosomal RNA, 452 nt
Filed under: uncultured bacterium
Lineage: Bacteria
Description: bacterial SSU rRNA
Rfam family: Bacterial small subunit ribosomal RNA
Source: RNAcentral
AGCAGUGGGGAAUAUUGCACAAUGGGCGCAAGCCUGAUGCAGCCAUGCCGCGUGUAUGAAGAAGGCCUUCGGGUUGUAAAGUACUUUCAGCAGUGAGGAAGGUGGGUAUGUUAAUAGCAUAUUCAUUUGACGUUAGCUGCAGAAGAAGCACCGGCUAACUCCGUGCCAGCAGCCGCGGGUAAUACGGAGGGGUGCGAGCGUUAAUCGGAAUUACUGGGCGUAAAGCGCAUGCAGGUGGUUUGUUAAGUCAGAUGUGAAAGCCCGGGGCUCAACCUCGGAAUUGCAUUUGAAACUGGCAAACUAGAGUACUGUAGAGGGGGUAGAAUUUCAGGUGUAGCGGUGAAAUGCGUAGAGAUCUGAAGGAAUACCGGUGGCGAAGGCGGCCCCCUGGACAGAUACUGACACUCAGAUGCGAAAGCGUGGGGAGCAAACAGGAUUAGAUACCCUGGUAG